RNAcentral lists this ribosomal RNA (429 nucleotides) under Chloroflexota bacterium. RNAcentral describes it as "Chloroflexi bacterium partial 16S ribosomal RNA". It matches the Rfam family "Bacterial small subunit ribosomal RNA", at positions 355 to 776 of the family's 1533-position model. The record is from RNAcentral. Lineage: Bacteria; Bacillati; Chloroflexota.
UGGGGAAUAUUGCACAAUGGGCGCAAGCCUGAUGCAGCCAUGCCGCGUGUAUGAAGAAGGCCUUCGGGUUGUAAAGUACUUUCCGCGGGGAGGAAGGGAGUAAAGUUAAUACCUUUGCUCAUUGACGUUACCCGCAGAAGAAGCACCGGCUAACUCCGUGCCAGCAGCCGCGGUAAUACGGAGGGUGCAAGCGUUAAUCGGAAUUACUGGGCGUAAAGCGCACGCAGGCGGUUGAUUGAGUCAGAUGUGAAAUCCCCGGGCUUAACCCGGGAAUUGCAUCUGAUACUGGUCAGCUAGAGUCUUGUAGAGGGGGGUAGAAUUCCAUGUGUAGCGGUGAAAUGCGUAGAGAUGUGGAGGAAUACCGGUGGCGAAGGCGGCCCCCUGGACAAAGACUGACGCUCAGGUGCGAAAGCGUGGGGAGCAAACAGG